RNAcentral lists this ribosomal RNA (253 nucleotides) under uncultured bacterium. RNAcentral describes it as "partial 16S ribosomal RNA". It matches the Rfam family "Bacterial small subunit ribosomal RNA", at positions 524 to 776 of the family's 1533-position model. The record is from RNAcentral.
UACAGAGGGGGCAAGCGUUGUCCGGAAUUACUGGGCGUACAGCGCGCGCAGGCGGACCGUCACGUGCCGUGUGACAAGCCACUGCUCAACAGUGGAAGGCCAUGGUACACGAGCAGUCUGGAGGCAGGGAGAGGGAUGUGGAAUGCCCGGUGGAGCGGUGAAAUGCGUAGAGAUCGGGCGGAACACCAGCGGCGAAGGCGGCAUCCUGGUCCUGUUCUGACGCUGAGGCGCGAGAGCGUGGGGAGCGAACUGG